This 22-nucleotide microRNA is filed under the name Sus scrofa (pig). RNAcentral's name for it is "ssc-miR-7144-5p". Lineage: Eukaryota; Metazoa; Chordata; Mammalia; Artiodactyla; Suidae. The record is from miRBase by way of RNAcentral.
ACUUUCCCGGGAUUUGGAGCGC